ACUUUGUGAGAUGCCUUGGGAAGGACACCAUGAAAAUGAAUAUGUAAAUGAAGAAAAGACAGUAUAAAAUACAUAGAUAUAUAAAUGUUAAUUUCUUUUGCAUCUCUUACUGAUGGCUUUUCCCCUCUCCUAGACUUAUAUUUGCCUUGACUUCUGCUAUGGAGACCCUCAUGCCAGGCAACUUUGUACUUUUACAGGAGUGCAUACUGCAUUGUGACCCUCCCACUGUGCCAAAUAGUGCCUGGAAGGAGAAUCCACAUGAGCACCACAAGGAUAAAAGUGAGGAAUGGUUGAACAACACAGAAAAAGGACAUCAACGAGAACGGAAAGGAAAGCAAGUAGGAGCAGCAGCAAUGACACCAGCAGCCAUGAAAAUGGCUGGCCCUUGGAGCUUCUGAAUAAAGGUAAGGAAGAUGUUUGGAUCAAGAGAUUCACAGAAGAUUAAAGUUAUUUUGUUCUGGAAAUGGGGUUGUCAGGUCAUAAUUUCAGCAGUAAGAGAAAGUACUGGUUAGUGAGUGCUGGGCUGUU
RNAcentral lists this long non-coding RNA (528 nucleotides) under Pogona vitticeps (central bearded dragon). RNAcentral's name for it is "lncRNA (ENSPVIG00000019044.1)". Lineage: Eukaryota; Metazoa; Chordata; Lepidosauria; Squamata; Agamidae. The record is from RNAcentral.